ACUAUGAGCCAGAGUCACUAAGCUCUACCAAGCCCAUUUAGUCAUUCUAGUGUCACUGCAGCAUAUCUGCCAGCAGAAGCAAUGGUUUGGCAGUGUCAGGGUAGUUUACGUUUCUCUGCAUGGGAUGGACUGAGGAACACCUCCCAGUAUUGUCCAGGGACUGCCAGCAAGCUGCCCAGUCAACACAGAGCCCUAACCAGCUGUGCCAUUAGUAUUAGCUGGUUGGCUGGCCAAGCUUAUCGGAGUUAUUGGUAGUGGGACCAUUUGGUGGUGAAAGACUCAGCACCUCAUUAGAUGAUUAACAUUUGACAUGCAUGCUGCAUCUCAAGAGAACUUCCCUAACUCUGUGUCCUUUAGCUAAUGGAGUUAAGAUGUCCUGAUGGACAUAAUAUCCCCUGAUGGACUGGGAAGAGCCAUACUGGUUUGCCUUAGUAAACUCUAUAUGUUGGGAGCAUUCUGCUCUAUGGUGGGUCCCAAAAGAACCAUAUGAUCUGGGUUUUUUUCCAGCGCCUGAGGUAUCCUAUGGCCCCAUAACUUCAGAUGGUGGAGAGAUGACUGUAUAAUCUUGCUGUGAGAUUGGCCUGGUCCGCAAGCAUUUCAAUAGGAAUAAAAGUGCCCCAAAGAACACAGAAGCGGCCAGCACUUCUCCGCAGGACACAACGCUGCGGGUCCCUACCUGGGAGCAGGAGAUAACGGAGGAGGACGGUUGGUAGCAUGAAGGAAGUGCGAUGAGGCAACUCGUAUGACAGAAAUAGUGCUAAAAGAUCUAGCCAGCAUUUACCUGCUCAAGAACUGCAAGGCAAUUUCUUUGAGAGGAAAGAUCAAAGUUUGCUAUCCAAAUGAUAUUUUGAAUUUAAAUGCUUGCAUUUGUAGUAGUAAAAUUAGGAUUCGUAAAACUAGUAGUUUUUUUAUCCAAAUGCUAAACUUUUUAUUUAUCACCCAUAUAUUUAACGACCCAUAUGAUGUGUAAGGAUUUUUUAAAUUUUCUUUUUGAAAAGGUUAGACGGACCUUUACUUUCCAAAGGCUGAGAAACAGCAUGGCAGUCCAUCCUUUACUGAGAGAUCACGGCGACGUCUGCGUAACUUCUUACAGCUUCCGGUGAAUUACUGAUGGCAAAUCAUCCUGGUCCCUUCACUAGUUCAAACGUUCAUCUUUGGGAAAAGUGAGUGUCAGAAGGCUGGUUGUGAAGCCGUGGGGCCAUUUAUCGGCUGCGCUGACACUUGGCCUUUGCUGGAGUAUGUGCCUCUGAGAUGGCAGAGGCCUUUGUCAUCUUCAUGAGUUUUCUAGGAAAGCCAUGAAUUGAAACACAUGGUCCAUCGCAUAUGCUCCGUCUGACAUGUUUUCACUUGAGUCACUCCUUCACCCGAGAUGCGUGCGCUGCAAUACCGUACUCCAAACCAAGAGACAAAUGCUUUAAUCCGGAGCACAGGUGAACCGCCUCAAACGGAAGCUAACAUUCAGGUUUAGAAACCAGGCAAAGUAUUGGUAAAGGAAGAAGGAAAGUAAUUUCAGUUUCUGCUUUAGGCUGAGGCCUUACCUUAAAUUUGGCUCUUAUUAUGCUUGAUUUUUAAUUAAACUUGUAGGUAGGUCAUGUUAUUGAAAAACCAGUAUUAAAUUAAACUUCCUGUAUUUGUAAGAAAUUUAUCCUAAGCCGUGUUUUUCCCUGGAAAAUUACCAGCGCAGCAAUCCCUCCCAUUGCUCUUCUUCUCUUUUCCAUGUCCCUGGGAUCCCCCGUCCUGCCGCAGCUCUGGCUGCUCUCCCCCGCCGUCUCCUUAGCCAAGUUGUGCGAGAGGAAAAACUUGCUCCUCCUGCUUCAGAUGGUCUUCCUUGCCCGGGAGACCUGGAUUCUGCCGUCUCGGUCUGCUGCCUGCUUUGCAGCUGUGACAGGAGGCUGCAGGGGACAGACAUCCAGCCACAGGACUUCCCCUAAUUAAGUCCCUACUUCUAGGUGCUGGAGGAGGUACCGGCUCUCUGGUUUUAACCCACUACUCUAAACACAAAGAGAAAAUGCUUUUCCCACAGAAGUCAAGAUAAUUCCCCAUAAACACAGGAGGAAAUCAGCCGUGACUCCCCAUCCCUUCCCUUGUGCUGUCUAUUGGCGCAAGCAACUGGGGAAGGACGAAAGGAGAUAGAAGCGAGCAUCCCAGCAGCAAAGGGCUCAGGGAAGAAGACAAUGAAAACCAAAAUCUAUCCACGUGUCAUCAAACCACUUGUGACAAGAAAACCAACUUCGAGGUCAGGGCAAGAGCACAUGAGACAAAGCCAAGCUGCCACAACUCGAUAGCCGCUCAUGGCUGGUGUCCAAACUACUAAGAUGGCAAACUUUGAUCUCUGCAGGACUUGACAUCUAAGCACACAGGCUGGCAAAACUACCGGCAGUGGAUUGAAUCAGGAACUGAUCCGGCUAAAAAUAACCGAGGGUGGAGUGGGGAACUAUUACUCUUCGGUCACUGAAACUUUCCAAUCUGCUUCAUGAUGCAGUUGCACACAGAGCUGCACCAGCACAGUGAGCAGAGCAUGGGAGUAAAUGACCACGAGGACACACAGAGGAGGGGAUGAGGAUCACUCGUUUUGCUUUUGAAAGAAAUGCAGGUGGAACCACAGCUUCAGUGGGCUGAGUACUCAAAGGGCUGUUGUUUCACGACGUGGAUUGCAUGGUGGCAAUACCAACUUCAGGAACCGCUGAGCUCUUUGGAUGUUUGUUGCCACCCGCCCCAGACUGCAAUUUUCCCUCAUUUGUGCCAACCCGGCUGUUUGUGGAGCUGUGCUGAGCGCCGGAUCGGGGAAGCAAUCCAAGUUAAAAAUAACCCAGCGGGUGGCUGGGGAUGGCAAGAGCUUCAGCCAUCCGAUGUAAUCUGCUGUCACAAGUCAGGGAGAGCUGUUUGCAAUUGCAGGGUCAUGAAAGCCCGGCCUCGGAGAUACCUAUUUACUACAAGAAAUAUGAACUUUUCAGCCAGUUGAAGGAGCGUUGUGAAUGAGGCGGCUGGAAUCCUUUGCCCAUGUUCUUAAGGGACAAGGGAGCAAACCUCACUGUGCACCAAUGCCAGCACAAAACGUCUUCCCACAAGCUUUACUUUAGCAGCCCUUCACAUGACGGUUUUGCAACAAAAACUAAUGGCAGUCUACGCUAUUCAGCUGAUGUGUGUUGUUUAUUCUGUGGGUUAGGGAGAAAGUUACCAUGAUUUUUAAGUGCUGGAAGGGUACUGCAGAUAUGGGGGCUGUGCUGGCACCAAGCAAGAGAAUAGAAGAGUAUUCUUUACAGACAUGAAUCUAAUAGCUUUGUGUUACAGAGCAAAGUACUAAUUUGUGGAUAUAUUCUAGAAGAACACCUCUUCUUCUCAGCUCUAGAAAAACAAUACUAUUGCUGUGAUGCACCAGCACUAACCUACGUGAUCACAGCAGCAGUGACAUGAUUUUCACCUACUCAUAGGCUUGGAGGGGAGCAUUUGUAAUUAUUCAUUCUCUCUUGUAUUCCAAGGCAUAUCUGGGUUUCUUCUGGCUUCUCUCUUCAGUUCAUGGUUCACGCUUCCUGGGUUGAGUAUUUUUAAAUACCAGUCAUUUCCUUUUUCUCCCCCUCCUGCUUGUGACUUGGCACUUCACUGCUUCCCUCCCCAGGAAUGCCCCUGCUGGGAGCUGGCUGGCUUGAGCCCCGAUGGCAAUGAAGGUGAAGCAUCAAGAGCUUCAGAGCCUGAGGAAUUUCAGGAUCUUCUCAGGUUACAUUUCUUGAGAAAGCAAUUCACCUUUUCUUCAUGUGCAUUAAUGGCUCCAUACACAUUGAGGUGGAAGGUGCAGUUGAAACCCACAGUUACAUUAGCAUUAGCAGCUACGUUGCAUAUUAGCCAAAUGAAAGCAAGUGCCUGAGGCUUAGGGCAGGAUGUGGCUGCCCUAAGGCAAACUCUAAAUGCUUUCACACCAACCUCUGCGCUCAGGCCUGAGACAUAACGUCACUGUCGACCAUGCCAGGUAACUCCUUAGAUUUCAAGGGUCCAGAAGAAGUACCGUCGUAUUUUGCCAACUUCUUUCGCCUUUCUAAGAAUGUGAGGACUUGUGUUCGGUGGUUGUAAUUCUUCUCUCUCUAGACACAAGGAAAAAUGUUUUGUUCCACCUCCCUGCCCCCUGCAUUCCCAUUGCCGCUUCCCUUUUUGUGAUAAUUGUUAAAAGAUAUCUUUUUUUUUUUAAUAAAGCAGCUUGUGGUUCCUGUUUGACCCUAGGUUCAAAAAGGUUUAUCAUAUGUCCAAUGAAUUGGGAAGAUAUCUGCAAUCUCUCUAAUGCAUACUACAUGUAAACUCUGUUUUUCCUGUUUUGCUUGGUAUUUCUGCCUGCCUGAAGGCAUAGAGAGAAUUCAAAGGUCAGCUGUGAAAGAAAUCAGGCAAGAAGAGAGAGCAGUUGCCCUGCAGAGAGGCAUCUUCUUAAGCACAACAGGCAGGUGCAGAGCUGUGGGAAGCAACUUCUCAGUCCCUAUCCUAGAAAAGAAGAUCUUCUGGCUCUCGCAUCUGUUCACGUGAAUGAGCGUACCAAAAAGGCCAGGCCUGUGAGAGGAAAACCAAGCAUUUGUUGAAGUCCAUCAGGACCGCAAAAGCAAUGUUACCAGGUGGAUUCAUGCGUUUUCUACGAAGAAAGCCAGCAAGCACUUGAACGAGAACAGGGAGGGGACCGUUGAGAGGUGGAUCAGCUGACUUACAAGAUGUAUCAGGUCUGGCAUGGAAAGGCUAAAGGCCCUUCAGAGUUUGGGACACAAGAGCAAAAGCGGCAAAGCAGCCUACCCCAGCAAUGCCUCUUUUGGCCUCUGUUUGCUCCAUCUCCUUGAAAUAUCCUGUAUUUUCCUUUUUUCAGAGAUGGGGGCUCCUGUUGUUGUGUCUCUGGCUAUUCAUACCAGUGUUGUUGGGGUAAAGGGGAAACCGGGCCACAAGGAACAGUUUGCUGUGCAUGCAAGGGCAGUUUUGUUUGUUUGAUGUAUCUCAAAAAUUGCUUUAGAGAUUACACAUAAAAUACUUUUGAAAAUUUAUUAAACACGUAAAACGCA
Long non-coding RNA from Harpia harpyja (harpy eagle), 5024 nucleotides. RefSeq lists it as uncharacterized. The record is from RefSeq and is a predicted model, not a curated record. NCBI's taxonomy places the organism in Eukaryota, Metazoa, Chordata, Aves, Accipitriformes, Accipitridae. The transcript is spliced from 7 exons.